AAUUCGACGCAACGCGAAGAACCUUACCUGGGCUUGACAUCCCGAUCGCACCUUAUGGAAACAUAGGGUCAGUUCGGCUGGAUCGGUGACAGGUGCUGCAUGGCUGUCGUCAGCUCGUGUCGCGAGAUGUUGGGUUAAGUCCCGCAACGAGCGCAACCCUUAUCUUUAAUUGCCAACGCGUGAAGGCGAGCACUCUAGACGAACUGCCGUUGACAAAACGGAGGAAGGUGGGGAUGACGUCAAAUCAUCAUGCCCCUUAUGUUCUGGGCUACACACGUGCUACAAUGGUUGGUACAACGAGUUGCGAGUCGGUGACGGCGAGCUAAUCUCUUAAAGCCAAUCUCAGUUCGGAUUGUAGGCUGCAACUCGCCUACAUGAAGUCGGAAUCGCUAGUAAUCGCGGAUCAGCAUGCCGCGGUGAAUACGUUCCCGGGCCUU
This 437-nucleotide ribosomal RNA is filed under the name uncultured Streptococcus sp. RNAcentral describes it as "bacterial SSU rRNA". It matches the Rfam family "Bacterial small subunit ribosomal RNA", at positions 948 to 1382 of the family's 1533-position model. Lineage: Bacteria; Bacillati; Bacillota; Bacilli; Lactobacillales; Streptococcaceae. The record is from RNAcentral.